Small nucleolar RNA from Camellia sinensis, 121 nucleotides. NCBI's taxonomy places the organism in Eukaryota, Viridiplantae, Streptophyta, Magnoliopsida, Ericales, Theaceae. The record is from RefSeq and is a predicted model, not a curated record.
AUUCCAUAAAAAUAUUUCUGUGUUUACUUGAUUCAUGGGAGGCGGAAAUUAACAUUGGGAGUUUGCUGAUGACACCUUUUUGUUCCAAGAAGGUGUUUUAACAGUACCUCACCAAACACAU